CAGCUGUUGUCAACCAAACCUUUCCUUUCUAUAUAAAGGUGGCUUGGCCUCCUACAUAUUAGCCAAAGCAAGAAAACCAACAAAACCUAUAAACAGCUACUUGUCUUUGUGUGUUGAUUAAUUGUAGUUAACAUGGCACGUCAGGCAGAUCGUCUUGUUAAGAUUGGGCAGGAGGGUUUUGCAACCAUUGAUGAGCACUUCGGCCGGGCCAAGAGGCGGCCACCAGUUAUGAAGGUUCCCUAUGCUCAUCCCACAUAUUACGAUGUUCCUGCAACAGAAGUUAUCAACAGCAACGAGGCAGCUCAACGCUACAAGGGGAGGGUUUAUGUCGAUUACCCUAAGGGUAAACCAGUUCCGUUUUAAAGACCUAUUGAUUAAUCACUUAGCUUUCUUGUAUGCAUAACCUCCUCCAGUUGUGUUACCUUUAGUCCUGUACGAUAUUCUCCCUCUGCUAAACGUAGACGAGGAGAGGUUGCUAGAACUCGAGUCAGGAGCUUCUUCUUACUUCUUCAAAUAAACUUUCUGUGAUUUAUAUAUCAUUUUCUAUUUGUAUGUAUUGUCAUAAUUAUCUUUCUUACUUCCUCAUUAUCACCUCUUACUUAGCAUGGAAUUGAAAGAUACAAUAUGCUCUUGAAAUGCUUUGAAGCUCUUCAAGGUGUGAUUUCACCGACUAAGUUUGGAACUGUACAGAGCUCAAUGAUGAGCCGUGGGAGGCGUCUCUGAUUGUUGCACUGUAAGCAUGAGUGUACGUAUGAAUAUAACCAGCAGAUCCGCAAACCACAAGUGAUGACAAGCUUCUUAACACUGCUGCAUUUAACAGUUUUACCAACAAAAUGUUUUGUCGGUAUUUACUCUACCAUUCCGUCAGCAUGAAUUUUAUCGACUGAUUUACGGACGGAAACAGUCCAUUGGUAAAUUCCUCUUGUCAGUAAUUUCAUUAAUGUCGGUACAAAAAAACCCGAUGGUUUUACAAAUAGAAAAUGCAAGCCAAUUUUUUUUCCACUGGAAUAUACAGACGGAAUUAUUUCUUCGGUGAUUGACAGUGGCAUAUGGAGUAAUUUUAUUCCAAACCCUCUAUAAAAUACCGAAGGAAUUAUUCCAUCGGUGAUGUAACAGUUGAAAUGGCAUAUGCAGUAAUUAUUUUUCAACUCUCUGGAAUAUAACGACCAACAAAGUUUGUCGGUAACUUCGUCCGUAAUAAUUAAAAAAUAUAUAUAUUUUUAAAAAUUAUUUAUUGAACAAAAAAAGAAAAUAAUAAAAAAUAUAAAAUUGUAUAAAAUUCAAGUAUGUAAAAAUAAAUUACCUUAGUAUAAAAGCCAAAUAUUCAUUACAAAUUUAUAUGUUCAAAUAAAAUUAAACUAGAAAAAUGGCGGCGUUGGAGGAGGCUGAUCGUUCCCGGGACCAUAUGGCCAAAAAGAGUGUCGCACGUGACCCGCGCGGCGUCCGAUGGUGAUUUUUUCGUUAUGCGUUUGCUUGAUUGGUUCGUUGGGAGUCGCCACCUAGUAUUUAAUUGAGGGCAACUAGGAAACCCGGGUGUACUGGUCUUGUCAGAGAUUCACGGGUAAGGGACUGGUUGUGGUUAGGGAAGGUAUUUGCACCCCUAACGCACCCUACCUGAGGUAAGCUGCUUCGUGGCUUUGAUGUGAUAAAGAAGUUUUAAAAAUUUUGUUCUUUCAUCGGGUAUUAGAAAUACGACUUACAUGUAAGUUCAUAAUUCUUGACCGUGAUCAAAUCAAAAUAUUAAAUUCUUCUUUAUUCUUUGCAAUUUUAUCAUAAAAAAAUACAUUUAUAAAAAAAAAACUACAAACAAACACAUUCACUUUCACUAUAUUUUUUCUUUUUUUUCUUUUUCACAUCUAUAUUACAAAAAUUCAAAACUAAACAAAAAUUACAUUAAAUAAUUUGAAAUUACAAAAAUAGCCCAAAAACAAGUCCAUAACAGUGCUAGGAAGCUUUCUGGAACUGCAUGCAGUGCUGAAGAAGGUUCCUGAACAGUUGAACAGUGCGCAACCGCCACUAGCGUCGCGUGGGCUCACGCGCCGCCGCGAGAAAUUCCAGGCAGUAGGGGGCGCUGCUGUGGCUUCCUCCCCUCUUCACUUCCCUACCGGCGGUUAGGGUCUUCAUCAACUGCAAAAGAAUAAAACACCCAAACCAGUUGAUUUUAAUUUUUCUUUCUUUUUCAGAUUUAUUUCGGUCUUCUCCUUUUCAUAUCUGCUUCACCGCAGAUCUUUCUUUGGUUUACAUCUUCUUCUCCUUCGCUUCAGGUGGCCGGCAGUUGGGUGGCGACGACACUGGAUUCAGGUUGUUGCUUUGGCCGCUGCAAUUGGUGGCUGAAGGAAAUGGCGUGGAUCUGUGGGCUGCCGUGUGCUGGCUGUUGUGGCUGACGGUGUGGAUAAAACGUGGAUUUGUGGUCUCUGUCUUUAGCUCGGUCAACUUGAGAUCCCAAUCUGGCCAUUCCCCUUAACUAGACCAAAAUGUCACCUUCAACUUGGUUAACCUGAAAUCUCAAUCAAAAGACCCCUUUUAACCACAACCUUAGUCUUUUUCUUUAGCUCAACCAACCUAAAAUCCCAAUGUGGCGAUUCCCUUUAACUAGAAUCAAAAUAUCAUCUUCAACUUGGUUAACCUGGAAUCUUAAUUAAUCUAGAAACCCCCUAGGCUUCCUAGGCUUAGACUUGUGUGGACUUAGUGCACUAGAUUCUUUUUUGUUUAAGUUUUGUUGGUUGAAAAAAUACUUCCUAAAAUUAUUAUUAUUGUUAUUGUUUUUGUUAUUAUUAUUAUUAUUAUUAUUCAUACACAGUUAUAUUUAUGAUUAUUAUAUGGUCAAUUUGUCUAUGUCAAAGAAUAGAAUCUGAGGCAACUUUUUGACCAAAAUUCCACUCUCUAUUAAACCAAAAUGUUUAAUGCAAGCAACUUGGUUACUCGGAUUUGAGAUGUAAAUAGAUUUUUUGUUGGGAUGAGGUGGUCAGGUUGCGUCACAUUGAUUAUGUCAUGAAGUUAACUAGAGUAAGAAAUAAAGAUAUAAAGUUUCGGAGAGAAUCAAGAUCAGUUAAAGGAAAAAAAAAAGAUUAUGAAAAUAAAUUGGAAAGGAAAAGUUUAGUUAUAAGGAAUCAGAUUCACAAAGAAAUUUAAGUCUCAUCGAUUCUAGGAAACAAGUUGGAAGGAAUCAAUUUUACAAUAAUUGAACUUGGCACUAGAGAGAACCUCUGUGCCACUAAGUACUGAAUCGUUAUUGAAAUGUACUGAAGGCCAUUUGUUUGCCAUUUGUGCUCAUUAAGACCAUAAUUCUAUUCUUUUAUAGUUUUUUGGAAGAAAUAAAAAACUAGGGUGAGUUAAUAUUCUGUAAAAUAAGCUUGGAAUACCGUGCGGGGGCUUGGCUCAGAGAUCAUUGAGUUUUUCCUACAAAUUGCCUUUUAAUUUGUUUCACCUGUAAUUGGACUGGGAUUCGGUAAUUCUGUUAAGGACUUUCAUUUGGUUUAAGUUUCCCUUUUGUUUACAUAUGAGGUUCCGAGACAACAGUUGCUUGCUGUUCUUGAACAAACAUUGCUUGGAGGUUAUCCAAUGCCGAGAUCAAGGUCAGAUAAUACUAGCGUACGAUUGUGCUUAUUGCCAUUAAUUAGAAACUGCAAUAUCGUAACAUAAUUAAAAUGAGAUUAUUCUGAUUAGAGAGCAGAAGGAAUCUUCUUUCAUAAUUGGCUUUUGCGAAGAUUUAGUGUUUUUGCUGCUCCUACUUUUGGACCUGACUUGAUUCCUGACCGGUAGAAACAGCAUUAGUCCAAAAGAAGGGAAGCUUUUGUUUUCUUUAAUCACAUGAUCACAUGCCCAGCACAAAUUCAUAAAAGUGGCUCUAAUGAUUGGCUGACAACAGUUGUUCAUAAGCAAUGUUUGCGUUCCUUAUUUUUCAAUUUACAAAGUAUUUAGAACAUUCAAUACUUUUUUGUAUGCAUAACCUCCUCCAGUUGUGUUACCUUUAGUCCUGUACGAUAUUCUCCCUCUGCUAAACGUAGACGAGGAGAGGUUGCUAGAACUCGAGUCAGGAGCUUUUUCUUACUUCAAAUAAAAUUUCUGUGAUUUAUAUAUCAUAAUUUUCUAUUUGGCUGGUCAAGCAUGCAUUGUCAUAAAUAUCUCUCUGCUUCCCUGAUUAUCACUUUAUUCAC
Molecule: long non-coding RNA, 4157 nt
Filed under: Populus trichocarpa (black cottonwood)
Lineage: Eukaryota; Viridiplantae; Streptophyta; Magnoliopsida; Malpighiales; Salicaceae
Description: long non-coding RNA (PTRI_LNC004370)
Source: RNAcentral